This 252-nucleotide ribosomal RNA is filed under the name uncultured bacterium. Its description in RNAcentral is "partial 16S ribosomal RNA". It matches the Rfam family "Bacterial small subunit ribosomal RNA", at positions 30 to 289 of the family's 1533-position model. The record is from RNAcentral.
UUGAACGCUGGCGGCAUGCCUUACACAUGCAAGUCGAACGGUAGAGGGGCAACCCUUGAGAGUGGCGAACGGGUGAGUAAUAUAUCGGAACGUGCCCAGUCGUGGGGGAUAACGCAGCGAAAGCUGCGCUAAUACCGCAUACGAUCUAAGGAUGAAAGCGGGGGAUCGCAAGACCUCGCGCGAUUGGAGCGGCCGAUAUCAGAUUAGGUAGUUGGUGGGGUAAAAGCCCACCAAGCCGACGAUCUGUAGCUG